AUAUCAAUAAGCGGAGGAAAAGAAACCAACAGGGAUUGCCCUAGUAACGGCGAGUGAAGCGGCAACAGCUCAAAUUUGAAAUCUGGCCCUCGGGCCCGAGUUGUAAUUUGUAGAGGACGCUUUUGGCGCGGUGCCUUCCGAGUUCCCUGGAACGGGACGCCUUAGAGGGUGAGAGCCCCGUACGGUUGGACACCAAGCCUCUGUAAAGCCCCUUCGACGAGUCGAGUAGUUUGGGAAUGCUGCUCUAAAUGGGAGGUAAAUUUCUUCUAAAGCUAAAUACUGGCCAGAGACCGAUAGCGCACAAGUAGAGUGAUCGAAAGAUGAAAAGCACUUUGAAAAGAGGGUUAAAUAGCACGUGAAAUUGUUGAAAGGGAAGCGUUUGCGACCAGACCUCUCCCCGGCGGAUCAUCCGGUGUUCUUCACUGGUGCACUUCGCCGGGCAGAGGCCAGCAUCGGUUUCCGCGGGGGGACAAAAGCUCAGGGAACGUAGCUCCUUCGGGAGUGUUAUAGCCCUCCGCACAAUGCCCCCGCGGGGACCGAGGACCGCGCCCCCGGGCAAGGAUGCUGGCGUAAUGGUCGCCAACGACCCGUCUUGAAACACGG
RNAcentral lists this ribosomal RNA (603 nucleotides) under Nemania cf. bipapillata CBMAI1340. Its description in RNAcentral is "eukaryotic LSU rRNA". It matches the Rfam family "Eukaryotic large subunit ribosomal RNA", at positions 40 to 664 of the family's 3401-position model. The record is from RNAcentral. Lineage: Eukaryota; Fungi; Ascomycota; Sordariomycetes; Xylariales; Xylariaceae.